UCGAACGAUGACCUCCUUCGGGAGGGGAUUAGUGGCGAACGGGUCAGUAACACGUGGGCAAUCUGCCCUGCACUCUGGGACAAGCCCUGGAAACGGGGUCUAAUACCGGAUAACACUGCGGACCGCAUGGUCUGCGGUUGAAAGCUCCGGCGGUGCAGGAUGAGCCCGCGGCCUAUCAGCUUGUUGGUGGGGUGAUGGCCUACCAAGGCGACGACGGGUAGCCGGCCUGAGAGGGCGACCGGCCACACUGGGACUGAGACACGGCCCAGACUCCUACGGGAGGCAGCAGUGGGGAAUAUUGCACAAUGGGCGAAAGCCUGAUGCAGC
RNAcentral lists this ribosomal RNA (327 nucleotides) under Streptomyces sp. RNAcentral describes it as "bacterial SSU rRNA". It matches the Rfam family "Bacterial small subunit ribosomal RNA", at positions 62 to 392 of the family's 1533-position model. The record is from RNAcentral. Lineage: Bacteria; Bacillati; Actinomycetota; Actinomycetes; Kitasatosporales; Streptomycetaceae.